Molecule: ribosomal RNA, 485 nt
Filed under: uncultured bacterium
Lineage: Bacteria
Description: bacterial SSU rRNA
Rfam family: Bacterial small subunit ribosomal RNA
Source: RNAcentral
CGUGCCAGCAGCCGCGGUAAUACGGAGGGUGCGAGCGUUAAUCGGAAUAACUGGGCGUAAAGGGCACGCAGGCGGUGACUUAAGUGAGGUGUGAAAGCCCCGGGCUUAACCUGGGAAUUGCAUUUCAUACUGGGUCGCUAGAGUACUUUAGGGAGGGGUAGAAUUCCACGUGUAGCGGUGAAAUGCGUAGAGAUGUGGAGGAAUACCGAAGGCGAAGGCAGCCCCUUGGGAAUGUACUGACGCUCAUGUGCGAAAGCGUGGGGAGCAAACAGGAUUAGAUACCCUGGUAGUCCACGCUGUAAACGAUGGGUACUAGGUGUAGGAGGUAUCGACCCCUUCUGUGCCGGAGUUAACGCAAUAAGUACCCCGCCUGGGGAGUACGACCGCAAGGUUGAAACUCAAAGGAAUUGACGGGGGCCCGCACAAGCGGUGGAGUAUGUGGUUUAAUUCGACGCAACGCGAAGAACCUUACCAGGUCUUGACAU